RNAcentral lists this ribosomal RNA (481 nucleotides) under uncultured bacterium. RNAcentral describes it as "partial 16S ribosomal RNA". It matches the Rfam family "Bacterial small subunit ribosomal RNA", at positions 28 to 507 of the family's 1533-position model. The record is from RNAcentral.
GAUGAACGCUGGCGGCGUGCCUAACACAUGCAAGUCGAACGGAGAUUACGGACGGAAGUUUUCGGAUGGAAGCCUGUAAUUCUUAGUGGCGGACGGGUGAGUAACGCGUGGGCAACCUGCCCUAUACAGGGGGAUAGCAGCUGGAAACGGCUGGUAAGACCGCAUAAGUCGGUUAAAUCGCAUGAUUUGAUCGGGAAAUGAGCAAUCAGGUAUAGGAUGGGCCCGCGUCCGAUUAGCCAGUUGGCAGGGUAAAAGCCCACCAAAGCGACGAUCGGUAGCCGGACUGAGAGGUCGGACGGACACAUUGGGACUGAGACACGGCCCAAACUCCUACGGGAGGCAGCAGUGGGGGAUAUUGCACAAUGGAGGAAACUCUGAUGCAGCGACGCCGCGUGAGUGAAGAAGUAUUUCGGUAUGUAAAGCUCUAUCAGCAGGGAAGAUGAUGACGGUACCUGACUAAGAAGCCCCGGCUAACUACGUG